RNAcentral lists this unclassified non-coding RNA (329 nucleotides) under plant metagenome. RNAcentral's name for it is "partial contains 5.8S ribosomal RNA, internal transcribed spacer 2, and large subunit ribosomal RNA". The stretch from base 1 to 105 matches the Rfam family "5.8S ribosomal RNA", at positions 50 to 154 of the family's 154-position model. The record is from RNAcentral.
GAAAUGCGAUAAGUAAUGUGAAUUGUAGAAUUCCGUGAAUCAUCGAAUCUUUGAACGCACAUUGCGCCCUCUGGUAUUCCGGGGGGCAUGCCUGUCCGAGCGUCAUUGCGAACCCCUCAAGCACGGCUUGUGUGAUGGGCCCUCCCGCGUCUUGGUCGUCAAGACGGGCCCGAAAAGCAGUGGCGGCUUCGCGGUUAUCCGAUCAGCCAGAGCGUAUGGGGACUUUCUCUUUGUCACACGCCCGCGGCGCGGACCGACGCCUGUCGACCUUUAUUCAUCUUUUUCUCGGUUGACCUCGGAUCAGGUAGGGAUACCCGCUGAACUUAAGC